UGGGAAGCCAUUAGUGGGUCUUAUGUAGGAAAUGAAUAUGGUCUGAUUUACAUAUGUAAAGGAUAAUUCUGAGUAUGUUAUGGAACACUUUGUAAAUAGGUAAAAAGAGAAAUAGGAAAAUCAGCUAUUGCAUUAGACUCAGUUAGAAGUGGCAGUGGUUUUGCUAGGGGUUAUAUAAAAGGAAGAAAACUUAAUAAUGUUAGGCCUGACUAUAGGUAGAAUCUAUAGUUUUUACUCAUGAAUUGGAUGUAAGAAUUGAGGAGAAACGAAGAACCAAGUAAAAAUUUUGAGCUUUGGCUUGGGAAACUAGGUAUAUGGUAACGCCAAAAAGAGAGAUGUAGAGAAUUGAUGUAGGAGCAAAGCUGGGCUGGGAAAUUGAGAAAAUUAUACCUGCCUUGUUAAAGUUGAAACACCCACAUGACACUCACCUGGAAGGAUAUUCACACUUGGAUUGUUGGGGAAUAAUAAGAACUAGAGAUACAGUUUGAGGGUCACUGGCAUAGAGAUAGUAAUUAAAACCAGGAUGUCAGUUAUAUCACCUAGGGAUAAUGCAAAGAGAGAGAAAAGCAGGAGAUAAGACAGAUCGAGCAGUGGGAGAAGCCGGCAUUGAAGAAUGAAGAGGAAAACCAGGCGUGUCUAGUGCCAUGAUGCCAAGAGAAAAACCCAGCUCCGAGAAGACAGGAGUUUGUUUGCUAAUGUUAUUGAGGGAUAAAGUAAAAUACGAAGAGAGAAGUAACUUGGACUGGCGGCAAAGCGAUCACCAGUGCUCCUUCUAACUGUGGUGUCGAUAAAGUAAUGUGGACUGGAUGAAGGAGCCUCGUUGGAAUAAACUCAUAUAGGAAUGAUGAUACCGUGUUUACCUACUAAUGGGAAUGACCCUAUUGAAGAGGGAACAUCACGUAUGUUGGGGAGCGGAAAAGUCAAAGUCCUCGAAAAGGAAGCACUUUGGAAACCAAUGGCUGAAAAGUUUGCUUUCUGUGAGAAGUGUAAAUCAAAGUCAUGUUUCUGUUUCCAGCAGUAGAGGAAAGAGAGAUAAACCUGAUGGACACAAGCAGGUAAAAUCUGCCCAAAAUGACUCUGGGGCUUGUUGAAAAAUUAACGCCUAUGAGAUCUGUCUCAUUCGAGGGCAAGGCAUGGCGGAUCACCUUUCCACAUCAGUGCCUGGGUCUGAUCUGCACCAUCUUUAUACGCUCAGCAGAUUAACUGGAGCCAUCUGAAGGAACCCUAUAACCAGGAGGCCGCUGUCCUCAGGGUUGAGCACCAUCUAUGGUCAUAUCAGGGAAACUGUAUAUUUCCCAGCCAGGAAUAAACAUUCUUGCUUUCAAGUCUCCCA
RNAcentral lists this long non-coding RNA (1333 nucleotides) under Homo sapiens (human). Its description in RNAcentral is "novel transcript". Lineage: Eukaryota; Metazoa; Chordata; Mammalia; Primates; Hominidae. The record is from RNAcentral.